This 429-nucleotide ribosomal RNA is filed under the name Acidobacteriota bacterium. RNAcentral describes it as "Acidobacteria bacterium partial 16S ribosomal RNA". It matches the Rfam family "Bacterial small subunit ribosomal RNA", at positions 355 to 776 of the family's 1533-position model. The record is from RNAcentral. Lineage: Bacteria; Pseudomonadati; Acidobacteriota.
UGGGGAAUUUUGGACAAUGGGGGAAACCCUGAUCCAGCCAUCCCGCGUGUGCGAUGAAGGCCUUCGGGUUGUAAAGCACUUUUGGCAGGAAAGAAACGUCAUGGGUUAAUACCCCGUGAAACUGACGGUACCUGCAGAAUAAGCACCGGCUAACUACGUGCCAGCAGCCGCGGUAAUACGUAGGGUGCAAGCGUUAAUCGGAAUUACUGGGCGUAAAGCGUGCGCAGGCGGUUCGGAAAGAAAGAUGUGAAAUCCCAGAGCUCAACUUUGGAACUGCAUUUUUAACUACCGGGCUAGAGUGUGUCAGAGAGAGGUGGAAUUCCGCGUGUAGCAGUGAAAUGCGUAGAUAUGCGGAGGAACACCGAUGGCGAAGGCAGCCUCCGGGGAUAACACUGACGCUCAUGCACGAAAGCGUGGGGAGCAAACAGG